GGGGUAAUAGUUUAAAAAAAUAUUUAAUUUGCAAUUAAAAGAAGCUAAUAAAGCUUAUCUCA
Molecule: transfer RNA, 62 nt
Filed under: unidentified
Description: Capodemus sinuatus tRNA-Ala
Rfam family: tRNA
About the family: Transfer RNA (tRNA) molecules are approximately 80 nucleotides in length. Their secondary structure includes four short double-helical elements and three loops (D, anti-codon, and T loops).
Source: RNAcentral